AGGGGUGGAAUUGCACGCGGCUGGGCUGGGAUGUGCUGGGCUUGCUGGGUGGGGGCAAAUACAACUGUUCGCUAGAUGCCGGGGGGGCAGGACACCCCCACACCCCCAUGCACCCCCAAAACUCUUCCUUAGCAAGCAUACUGGGGGGAUUUCAGUAGGAUGCUGAAUGUGGAGAUGGGGAGGAGGGGUGAGGAGGGCAGCCAAAUGCCUCCUCUUCGUUUAAACCAGAUAUUGAGGCAGAGAAAUCUGGGCAAAGCCAAAUAUUUCCUGUCCCAAUGGAAGACUCUGGUUAAAGUGUGCACUUUGCUUUGGUUAAAACAGCCGUGCGUAUCAUCUCGGAGACUGACUCAGUGCCUGCCCAUUGUCUCUCUAGGAUGACCGGGAAUAACAGCUUGUAUCUUCACUCCCUGGAUGUAAAAUUCUUUCAAACCUUUUGCAAAAAGCCUGUAGGUUUUGACAACGUAUUCCUUAUGGGGGAAAAAAAUAAAAAAUCACAGCGAUGGUCUCGAGCAGCCCUGGCUGUGAUCUUUAGCUGCCUGGGAGCGAGCCGCGGGCAGGGACGCGGGCUGAAUAACAAGGACUCCCACGGCUGCGGAGGACAGGACGAUAUAUUUUUGCAGGGCAGUAAAACCCGCUUGAUGCCGGGCUCGGGCAGGAGCUGAGGCUCUGAUCUGCUCCUUCCCUACCUCCAGGUACGGCAUUCCAUGGCUCCAGCCCCGCGCCGGCACAGCACAUUCCUGAUAUCCCAUCCUUGCGGCGGUUUUCGAGGCGUGAGCGAUGCCGAGCAGGGGCUCGCCUGGACCCCGCAGGUUUUGGGCAGCUGUUGAAAGAGACUCUAUUACAGAGCGCUCUGUAUUUAAUCUCCCCCCUGCCUACCUAAAUCAUGGGGAAAGGUUUUACACAUGGCUCUGACAGCGCCGAACGGCUCUACCGGAGAGGGAUGCGGGGAAUUUAUAGCGCACCGACUGCUGCUGGGUAAUACGCAGGCGAGGCUCCGAGCGGGGAAGGAUUUCUGGGUUUAUCGGAAGGGGAGUACAAACCUAAGGCAGGAGCCGGCUUGGAAUCUUCCCAGCUCAGGGGGUUUAACCUGCGGGACCGAAGGCUUUUAGGGCUGAUGCGGGGGUGUGGGGAUUGCCCUGAGGGGUGCCCGGGUGCCCCAUCCCCCCCUGGGGACCGGGGAGGGCAUGUCCGGGGGGGAUGCACGAUUUUCUGAUGCCAGACAGCUGCACCGGGGAGGGGGUGAGAGAUGAGCUGGGUUUGGGGAGGUGGGAAUUGAUGCCCAGCAUCCCAAGAGCUACAUCCCGACCCUGGGCAAGGCUGGGUGAAGGCACAGGAUGGGUGUGGAGGGCACCUGCCUUUCCCUUUUUGCCCUCCCAGGCUCUUCCACAGCAUCGGCAGUGCCCUGGGUGCUGGGGUCCAUCGCCUUAAACCAAAAAAGCAGCCCGUUUUUGAGCCCAGCUGGGUUUCUGCAGGUGGAAGGAAAGGCUGAGCUUGUCCUGAGCUCACCGGAGGCUGUUCUCUCCCGGGAUGGACCGUUUCCCGACCACACCAAGAGGCUGAAUCUCUGCUUGGAGGGUGGUUUGCGUUAGUGCCGGGGGGGGUGUCUUUCCUCCAGCAUCCCCUGCUCUGCACCUCCUCCCUAAACUCUGCCCACCAGUCCUGUACCCAGAGACUCCCUUUGCGCCUGCUUUUCCGUUUUAAUCUCUUGUACUCCCACUAUUUUUGAGUCGUCUUCGGCUUGGAGAUAUCUCUUUUUUUCCUCCUCCUCUCUCUCUUACCCUUCACGCUACCAUCAGCUUUCUGACACAGGAGUUUUAUUGGAAUAAAAGUAGAUUUUUAUCUCCCAAGCCUGUUUAUUAAACUCUCUCCCUUCUUUCACAGUAAGCUACCACCCACCCUCCCGGACGUUUGUCGAUUCAAAUCAGGUUUAAUCAACUCACAAUAUUGGACACAGUAAAAUUGGAUUUCUGAAAGCCCAAUAAAGUUGUGCCACCGCGCUGUACCGUAGCUCGAGGAGCUCAGAUUUCAUCACAUCAUGUCGGCAGCCGCAAGAAACAGCCCAUAAGAAACUCAUCUACUGCGCUCCGGCAAGCUGCUAAAAAUGGAUGAAGCCUCUCCCGAAGAAAUAUUGACUAUUAGUAUUCUUAUUAACAUUCUGCUGUCAGAAAUGACCAGUGGUAAUAAAUACAGCUGUAUCUUUUCAUCGUCCUGCCCGUUCAUCACUGUCUGGCUGAGCUUCCCUCGGGGCUGGGCAUGGUCCCCGCCGCCCCGUCUCCUUGCCCAAAAGGAGCCGUUUGCCCUCACGCUGUAACCUUGAUUAUUUUUGUUUUAUUAUUAUUAUUAUUAUUACUGUUAUUUCCUUUUUUUCUCUUUGACACAGCAAACAGCAGAGCAAGAUGGAGUGCCUGAGAACAGCUCGCUCCGCGCCUCCCCCGGCAGAAGGUCUCCCGGUGAUGGGAAAGGGCAGGAUGCGGUCCAGACGCCCGCGAUGCUCCUGCUCCCCUCUAAUUUAGAGUUCUACGGUUAUAACGAGAGAUAUUGCUAGCCUUGGAUUAUCCUCACGUCUUAUUUCUUCCCUAAUCUUGGGUGAGCUUUAGCGCCGGGGUAAAUCAAGCUGUAUUUAUGCCAUUGCUUUGCACUAAGCCUGGCAGAGCUGCCCUUGCCCUCGGUCGCCGCCUCCUUUUGCCGAUGCAAACCUUCCCGGGGCCGCCCCGUAAACCUGAUCCAGGAACCCAUCCCAACUCGACCAACCUUUUUUUCCUUUCUUUGCAGGCUGGUUUUCAUCCCGAGGAGCUCCCUGAUCCGGCUGGAUGUGUCUGCAGGUUGGCACUGGUCGUGUACGGGAAGGGGAAUAAGCCGUGGUGGGAGCAGAGGGAAGAAAACUGCCUUUUUGGCGUUAUUAAUGGGACUGGGAUGCUGGUGUGAGGCAGCAGGUCCGGGCUUGACUCUUUGCCCAGAAGCGUUACCUGGAUGAGAGCAAAUUGGCAGCAAAAUCCCUGUUUACAAACUCAUUUAAAGGCAGACCAGGGCCCCGUGUCUCCUUUAAUUCUGGCAUUUUCCCUCGCUUGCUGCAAAACCAGCCGCCGAGCAAGUGUGCAAUAGAUAACGUUGUAAUUAACGCCAAGGGGGAGCAAAUCCAUGUAUUAACAAACGUUUUUUUCCCAACGCAGGGCAAAGGGAGGGGGAAUUUACUGCUGCCGACCCGGCGAUUUCCUUCCUCCCAAAUUCUUCCGGCUGUUCUGUUUCACUGCUCCUUCUCGCAGGGCUUGCGGCGUUCAGCUUUGCCUGAGCAGGUGGGAUUGCAGGAGCCUGGACCGCUCCUGCCCGUGCCGGAGGGGGAAUCCAAGGAAUGAUUUCCGCAUUUAACACCAACUGAUCACGAAGCAUCUGCAGCUCCGCGGAGAGACGGCUCCUGGAGACCAGCAGCUCCGGGCAGGCUCCGCUUUCGGUGCAAUCGAUGGCUUAAGCCCUGGAUGCCCUUCAGUGCCGUUGGUGCGACGGAGAUGGAGGAUGCUCCGAGGGUCCAUCCCCAGUGGGUCACAGAGGGGUCCCCAAGGGCUGCCAGGGAAAAUGCUGCCGCCUCCUUCACCCGGACGAGCUCCCGGCGUGUUUGAGACCAUUAAUUAGGCUUUGCCAUCAGUAACGAAGACAGACUCCCCCUCCAGAGCAAGCGCGGGCAGGUGCUUACAGCCGACGCUCCGGCCACCGCUGGGGUCAGAAAUAUCCUUGCAUCUCCCAAACUGGAGCGAUCUCUCCCUCCGGCCCUCGGUCAUUAAAAGGAAAUUAAUUUCACUGGGCACCAAAGUUGGUGCGUUCAGCUGGUGGGAGCCAACCCUACGGAAAUCGGGAGCAGAUCCGGGCAGUGGCGUUUCCCGCUGCACCAGCCGGAAGCACGCAGGAUACAGCAAACAUGUCUCUCCAUGGUCAGGGAGGGACCCACUACGUUUUAAAAAAGUGAUUUAUGCUCUAAUCGGUCUUGAAGCUUCAUUAUUCCAAGCAUUAGCGUGUCUGAGCCAGUGGCCUUAUUUGUUAAUGCACUGAAAGCAGCAGCAGAUGUGCUAUUUUUCAUCUGUGACCCGAUCAGCUCGCUGAUUCAUCUACUUCCAUUUUCAUUCCCCUGUCACUGAUUUAUUAAUGAUGUCUUACUUAUCUGGGGCUCUUUCGGAGGGCCCCUAUGGCUCAGCCCCCGGAGAGAUGCCGGAGGAGCCCUCUCCCCUCCCCAAAUAUCCUGUUUUUCAAACCAUAUUCAUCCUCAUCGCUCCAGAGAUUAGACACUUUGAUCAUUUAGUAACUGAAACAACCUCUGCGGCUUGUACAAUUUGUGGAUAAUUUGCUGACAGAGCAACCUCCCUUUUUUUCCACCACAGACAGGGUACCCCAUCCUCUGGGAUUGUCUUUGGGCAUGGGGGGGACACGGUGGCUCCAUCCAGGAGCUUCAAGGAAUGCAGAGGGAGGAUGUCCAGGCUGCAAAAACUGACCGUUUUUUCUUGCUUUUCUAUACUCUCUGGGUUGGUCCAGCCUGGAAUAAUCCCAGGGGCAGAAUUUGUGCAAGAAGCACAAUUUCCCCCUUACUUGGAAAAGCUGGUGGGGAGUUCGAUCAAACCGUGGGGAGCUUGUGGGGAUUUUCUUGAACAAGCAAGUCCUUUCUGCGCUGCCUAUUUGACCUGGACCAUGCUGGAUCCAUGAGAAAUUAUUUCUUUUCUGCCUCCUAGUCUGAAAAAUGUCUUUAUUCCCACAUCUCUCCUAACGGCGAGCCUGGAGCAGGUUGUUGGUUUGCCUUUGUCGUGUAAGGGGAUUUUCCUCCUGCCUCUCUCCCGUUGGUGACUCUCUUCUGGACAAACCACCAAGCAGAGGGAGCCGCGGGGACCCUGGGAAAAAGCUGUGGCCAGCCCUGUCCCACAGUGUCCCCAGGGUUGUCUGUCCGUGGCUGCUGCCAGGCUCUUGGCACCCAGCAUCUCUCAGCCUUUUUUCCUCCUGAAACCUUUUUUCGCUUGGCAUCACGCUUUGCCAAGCUGCCCAGAGUAAACCCAUGCCUAAAAAGCCCUUCUUACUGAAAAGCGCCUUUUUGCUGAGCAACUCUGACCUUCGGGGCUUUUCAGAAACCUAAUUCCACCAUUAAACACACACGCAGAAAACCCCUGGAUUUGGGGAAAAGUCAUUCGAGGUUUAUUCAUAAAUCCUCUGUGCUCUCAUUCAGCCAUCCCUAAAGCAUCAUCCCUCGCAUGAUACCAAGAUGCUCCUAUAAAUGGCUCCUUGCUCCCGCUUUUCCUGCUGGGAAAGGCUGGAAUAGGCUCUCUGUUCCCAGCUGCUCAGCUGAAUCCCUGGGGAGAACCAUCUUUUGCUUCUGGGGCUAUUUGAGGGAUUUACGGUGUUGUUCAAGUAACUGAUCCCUGAGCCUCAGAUGUGCCAGCGAUCUCCCGGCUCCAUCCCAUCACUCCUCUGAUUUCCAGCCCGGUUAACUCCUUGGCUCUUUGCAGGAUGGUUGGCUCAUUAUACAGUAUCUUGGCCUUUACUGGAGACGUGGCUU
This is a long non-coding RNA of Chroicocephalus ridibundus (black-headed gull), 5527 nucleotides long. RefSeq lists it as uncharacterized. The transcript has 3 exons. NCBI's taxonomy places the organism in Eukaryota, Metazoa, Chordata, Aves, Charadriiformes, Laridae. The record is from RefSeq and is a predicted model, not a curated record.